UACGAAGGGGGCUAGCGUUGUUCGGAAUUACUGGGCGUAAAGCGCACGUAGGCGGAUCAUUUAGUCAGGGGUGAAAUCCCGGGGCUCAACCUCGGAACUGCCUUUGAUACUGAUGGUCUCGAGUCCGAUAGAGGUGAGUGGAAUUCCUAGUGUAGAGGUGAAAUUCGUAGAUAUUAGGAAGAACACCAAUGGCGAAGGCGGCUCACUGGAUCGGUACUGACGCUGAGGUGCGAAAGCGUGGGGAGCAAACAGG
This 253-nucleotide ribosomal RNA is filed under the name uncultured bacterium. RNAcentral describes it as "partial 16S ribosomal RNA". It matches the Rfam family "Bacterial small subunit ribosomal RNA", at positions 524 to 776 of the family's 1533-position model. The record is from RNAcentral.